This 460-nucleotide ribosomal RNA is filed under the name uncultured bacterium. Its description in RNAcentral is "partial 16S ribosomal RNA". It matches the Rfam family "Bacterial small subunit ribosomal RNA", at positions 338 to 795 of the family's 1533-position model. The record is from RNAcentral.
CCUACGGGAGGCAGCAGUGAGGAAUAUUGGUCAAUGGACGAGAGUCUGAACCAGCCAAGUAGCGUGAAGGAUGACUGCCCUAUGGGUUGUAAACUUCUUUUAUAUGGGAAUAAAACGUUCCACGUGUGGGAUUUUGUAUGUACCAUAUGAAUAAGGAUCGGCUAAUUCCGUACCAGCAGCCGCGGUAAUACGGAGGAUCCGAGCGUUAUCCGGAUUUAUUGGGUUUAAAGGGAGCGUAGGUGGAUUGUUAAGUCAGUUGUGAAAGUUUGCGGCUCAACCGUAAAAUUGCAGUUGAAACUGGCAGUCUUGAGUACAGUAGAGGUGGGCGGAAUUCGUGGUGUAGCGGUGAAAUGCUUAGAUAUCACGAAGAACUCCGAUUGCGAAGGCAGUUCACUGGACUGCAACUGACACUGAGGCUCGAAAGUGUGGGUAUCAAACAGGAUUAGAUACCCUAGUAGUC